RNAcentral lists this ribosomal RNA (421 nucleotides) under uncultured bacterium. RNAcentral's name for it is "partial 16S ribosomal RNA". It matches the Rfam family "Bacterial small subunit ribosomal RNA", at positions 360 to 773 of the family's 1533-position model. The record is from RNAcentral.
AAUAUUGGACAAUGGUGGCAACCCUGAUCCAGCCAUGCCGCGGGUGUGAAGAAGGUCUUCGGCUGGUAAAGCACUUUAAGUUGGGAGGAAGGGCUUUAGGUGAAUACCCUGAAGCUGAGACGUCACCAACAGAAUAAGCACCGGCAACCUCUGUGCCAGCAGCCGCGGUAAUACAGAGGGUGCACGCUUUAAUCUGAAUUACUGGGCGUAAAGCGCGCGUAGGUGGUUCAGUAAGAUGGGUGGGAAAUCCCCGGGCUUAACCUGGGAACUGCUUUCAUAACUGCUGAGCUAGAGUACGGUAGAGGGUUGUGGAAUUUCCUGUGUAGCGGUGAAAUGCGUAGAUAUAGGAAGGAACACCAGUGGCGAAGGCGACUACCUGGACUGAUACUGACACUGAGGUGCGAAAGCGUGGGGAGCAAAC